This 157-nucleotide ribosomal RNA is filed under the name uncultured Gammaproteobacteria bacterium. RNAcentral's name for it is "partial 16S ribosomal RNA". Lineage: Bacteria; Pseudomonadati; Pseudomonadota; Gammaproteobacteria. The record is from RNAcentral.
UACGGGAGGCAGCAGUGAGGAAUAUUGGAUAAUGGGGGGAGGCCUGAUCUAUGCAUCCCGCGUGUGUGAAGAAGGCCUUAUGUUUUAAACUCUAACCGAGGAGGAGGCUAAUCUAGUUAAUCCUAGGCUAAGUGCGUACUCGCAGAAUACUCAGCCG